GGGUGGUAAUGCCGGAUGCUCCAGUUGAUCGCAUGGUCUUCUGGGAAAGCUUUCGCGGUAUGGGAUGGGGUCGCGUCCUAUCAGCUUGACGGCGGGGUAACGGCCCACCGUGGCUUCGACGGGUAGCCGGCCUGAGAGGGCGACCGGCCACAUUGGGACUGAGAUACGGCCCAGACUCCUACGGGAGGCAGCAGUGGGGAAUAUUGCACAAUGGGCGCAAGCCUGAUGCAGCGACGCCGCGUGAGGGAUGGAGGCCUUCGGGUUGUAAACCUCUUUUAUCGGGGAGCAAGCGAGAGUGAGUUUACCCGUUGAAUAAGCACCGGCUAACUACGUGCCAGCAGCCGCGGUAAUACGUAGGGUGCAAGCGUUAUCCGGAAUUAUUGGGCGUAAAGGGCUCGUAGGCGGUUCGUCGCGUCCGGUGUGAAAGUCCAUCGCUUAACGGUGGAUCCGCGCCGGGUACGGGCGGGCUUGAGUGCGGUAGGGGAGACUGGAAUUCCCGGUGUAACGGUGGAAUGUGUAG
RNAcentral lists this ribosomal RNA (520 nucleotides) under Bifidobacterium longum subsp. suillum. RNAcentral describes it as "bacterial SSU rRNA". It matches the Rfam family "Bacterial small subunit ribosomal RNA", at positions 158 to 693 of the family's 1533-position model. The record is from RNAcentral. Lineage: Bacteria; Bacillati; Actinomycetota; Actinomycetes; Bifidobacteriales; Bifidobacteriaceae.